This 889-nucleotide ribosomal RNA is filed under the name uncultured delta proteobacterium. Its description in RNAcentral is "bacterial SSU rRNA". It matches the Rfam family "Bacterial small subunit ribosomal RNA", at positions 28 to 895 of the family's 1533-position model. The record is from RNAcentral. Lineage: Bacteria; Deltaproteobacteria.
AACGAACGCUGGCGGCGCGCUUAACACAUGCAAGUCGAACGGUCCCGAUAAAGCCGUAAGGUGAUAUCGGGGUAGUGGCAAACGGGUGAGUAACACGUGGAUAAUCUACCUUUGAGUGGGGGAUAACUCUGCGAAAGUGGAGCUAAUACCGCGAAGACUACAGAAUCGCAUGAUUCAGUAGUAAAAGGUUUUCGAUUUUCGGAGGUCGCUCAGGGAUGAGUCCGUGCCUGAUUAGCUAGUUGGUAGGGUAAUAGCCUACCAAGGCAACGAUCAGUAGCCGGCCUGAAAGGGUGUUCGGCCACACUGGAAUUGAGAUACGGUCCAGACUCCUACGGGAGGCAGCAGUGGGGAAUCUUGCGCAAUGGGGGAAACCCUGACGCAGUGACGCCGCGUGAACGAUGAAGUCCUUCGGGAUGUAAAGUUCUGUCAGGCGGGAAGAACUCCCUCGAUUGCAUCGAGGGAAUGACGGUACCGCCAGAGGAAGCACUGGCUAAUUCCGUGCCAGCAGCCGCGGUAACACGGAGAGUGCAAGCGUUGUUCGGAAUUACUAGGCGUAAGGAGCGUGUAGGUGGUUAGCUAAGUCGGAUGUGAAAAUUCCAAGCUCAACUUGGAACGUGCAUUCGAAACUGGUUAACUUGAGUGUAGGAGAGGAGAGCGGAAUUCCCAGUGUAGCGGUGAAAUGCGUAGAUAUUAGGAAGAACACCGGUGGCGAAGGCGGCUCUCUGGCCUAAAACUGACACUGAGACGCGAAAGCGUGGGUAGCGAACAGGAUUAGAUACCCUGGUAGUCCACGCCGUAAACGAUGGGCAUUAGGUGUAGGAGGUAUCCAAUCCUUCUGUGCCGAAGUUAACGCAUUAAAUGCCCCGCCUGGGGAGACGACCGCAAGGUU